CCUACGGGUGGCAGCAGUGGGGAAUAUUGCACAAUGGGCGCAAGCCUGAUGCAGCCACGCCGCGUGCGUGAUGGAGGCCUUCGGGUUGUAAACCGCUUUUUUUCAAGGGCAAGGCACUGUCUUUGGUCGUGUUGUGUGUAUUGUUUGAAUAAGCACCCGCUAACUACGGGCCACCUGCCGCGGUCAUACGUAGGGUGCAAGCUUUAUCCGGAUUUAUUGGUCGUAAAGGGCUCGUAGGCGGUUCUGCGUGUCUGGUGUGAAAUUCCAUCGUUUAACGGUGGAUCCGCGCCGGGUACGGGCGGGCUUGAGUGCGGUAGGGGAGAGUGGAAUUCCAGGUGUAACGGUGGAAUGUGUAGAGAUCGGGAAGAACACCAGUGGCGAAGGCAGGUCUCUGGGCAGUUACUGACGCUGAGGAGCGAAAGCGUGGGGAGCGAACAGGAUUAGAUACCCCUGUAGUC
This 458-nucleotide ribosomal RNA is filed under the name uncultured bacterium. Its description in RNAcentral is "partial 16S ribosomal RNA". It matches the Rfam family "Bacterial small subunit ribosomal RNA", at positions 338 to 795 of the family's 1533-position model. The record is from RNAcentral.